This 426-nucleotide ribosomal RNA is filed under the name uncultured Caryophanaceae bacterium. Its description in RNAcentral is "bacterial SSU rRNA". It matches the Rfam family "Bacterial small subunit ribosomal RNA", at positions 356 to 774 of the family's 1533-position model. Lineage: Bacteria; Bacillati; Bacillota; Bacilli; Caryophanales; Caryophanaceae. The record is from RNAcentral.
GGGGGAUUUUGGACAAUGGGCGCAAGCCUGAUCCAGCCAUGCCGCGUGCAGGAUGAAGGCCUUCGGGUUGUAAACUGCUUUUGUACGGAACGAAAAGACUCUGGUUAAUACCUGGUGUCCAUGACGGUACCGUAAGAAUAAGCAGCGGCUAACUACGUGCCAGCAGCCGCGGUAAUACGUAGGUGGCAAGCGUUGUCCGGAAUUAUUGGGCGUAAAGCGCGCGCAGGUGGUUUCUUAAGUCUGAUGUGAAAGCCCACGGCUUAACCGUGGAGAGUCAUUGGAAACUGGGAGACUUGAGUGCAGAAGAGGAAAGUGGAAUUCCAAGUGUAGCGGUGAAAUGCGUAGAGAUUUGGAGGAACACCAGUGGCGAAGGCGACUUUCUGGUCUGCAACUGACGCUGAGGCGCGAAAGCAUGGGGAGCAAACA